UACGUAGGGUGCGAGCGUUAAUCGGAAUUACAGGGCGUAAAGCGUGCGCAGGCGGCUUUGCAAGACAGAGGUGAAAUCCCCGGGCUCAACCUGGGAACUGCCUUUGUGACUGCAAGGCUAGAGUACGGCAGAGGGGGAUGGAAUUCCGCGUGUAGCAGUGAAAUGCGUAGAUAUGCGGAGGAACACCGAUGGCGAAGGCAAUCCCCUGGGCCUGUACUGACGCUCAUGCACGAAAGCGUGGGGAGCAAACAGGAUUA
RNAcentral lists this ribosomal RNA (257 nucleotides) under uncultured prokaryote. RNAcentral describes it as "partial 16S ribosomal RNA". It matches the Rfam family "Bacterial small subunit ribosomal RNA", at positions 524 to 780 of the family's 1533-position model. The record is from RNAcentral.